GGGCUCAUGUGUCACUCCUUUUCUUCCCCUUUACACUUGCAGCCCUUCCGAUGCCUUUCUGUUCACUUGUCCACAUUCACCUCUCUGUUUCCUUUGACUGGGCCUUGAGUGACCUACCACAAUAGCGGAGCUGACCAAACGCAGAGUGCCUGUAUUUCAACAUUCAGGAGGCUGACUCUGCAAUCCCAAGACCCUUCGAGAAGGUGGAGACCAAGUUGGAGAACCUCCCACCUCCUCCAGGCUUCUGAGGCUCUUCACCUUUAAGAUGAAGCAAAGCCAGACUCUGGCAACCACUGGGUGCUGAGGGCUCGGGGGUCAGAGGGGUCUGAGAGGCCCCGUCCAGGCUGCAGCCAGCCAAGCCAGGCUCUUCUGCCCUUUCCAAGACCCAGAGAAGGUCUGGACCGAGAGACACUGCUGCUACCCAAGGGAAAGGCGCCUGAGGGAAGGGACUGCCGAGACCUUCCUGCAGGAGACAACGAGGGCUCUCUCCAGCUCUGCGGGACAGAAGAGCAGCCAGGGACAGGGGUGCUGACCCGGCAGUUCCAGGUCUUAGUCAUUUCCACGCCCCAGCAGAAUGGCCCGCAGCACCCCCAACCUUCUGGGACUUGGACGAGCUUGGAGGAAUCCACGAGCAUUAGGGAGCCCUGGAGGAGGGGUGAAGGUUCAGGAAAGCAGCCAGGACCCAGCCGCGUCUGCCGGCCGGUACCCAGCGAGCCAGUCCAUCCGACACGCGUGGCACAGACACCGUCGUGGGUGAGACCAACUCAACAUCUUAGACGCGAGAGGGUGUGGGACGAGUUCCCCUUCCAACGAGUAAAUUGGCAGGGCCACUAAUUAAGUUGAAAGGAACGUCUGAGUCACGCUUCCUGGCCCGCUGUCUCCCUCUUCCGGUCUCCCACUCUAUCUGCGAGGAGCCCACUUCUCCCUGGGAAAACAGUGUGGUAACACAUUUGACACUAACGCAGACGCUAAUGAUCUCAAGUUGCUCCAACCAAAUCUGAGGAGUUUUGCUGUGAUACAAAUAAAUAUGUGCUUUGGGCUGUGAUUUUUUUUUCCAGCUAAGCUAUUUGGAGUCCCACACAUUUGUUUUCUCCCCUUUUUCUCUCUAAAUCACAAGGGUUUUCAGAAAUACAGGGUGUGCAUCUUGGGAAAGCGGAUGAUGUAGGGAAUGUGGGGAACCCUAAGUCGCCCGAGUCCUGUGGAAUAGGAACGUCAUGG
Molecule: long non-coding RNA, 1218 nt
Filed under: Heterocephalus glaber (naked mole-rat)
Lineage: Eukaryota; Metazoa; Chordata; Mammalia; Rodentia; Bathyergidae
Description: lncRNA (ENSHGLG00100040966.1)
Source: RNAcentral